UCAAUCUACUCUUUCUUUCUUUCUUCUUCUUAUUUAGGAUAUUUGUUGUUAAUGAAACAUUUAUUAAGUCAUACAAAAGUAAAUUGAUUCCUCAUUUGCUCUAGAAGUUGAUGAAAUUGACAUAAAAAAUUGACCUUAAAAUAAAUUUUGAUAAGAAAAUAUUUGAAAUUGUUUAAUUAGUAAGGUGAUCCUUGUCAGCUCUUUCUUAUUCUUAUUUAACAUCAUUGAAACUAUGUAAAAUGAAGCUGUAAAAGAGAUUUUUAUUUUUUACUCAAUAUUCUGAACACAAAGUAGGCUUUCAAAUUGCACAAGAAGAAGCUACAGCUGCUGGAUCAGUUGUAGGAAGAGCCUACCGUUUUAAUUUCUGGUUUUGUUCCAUCGUGAUGCCUCUUCGCAACAUCCUUUAUUAAGUAUUUCUACUUUAACUUUAUUGUUAUUUAUAGGUUUUGCUUCCAAUUCGGGUUGUUACCAAUUGUUAAGAUAAAUUAUCACCGAAAAGAAAGAAAAAGUUUAGGUUUUUUAUCAACAAACAAAGCGCUUUAUGGAACCAAGAUUCUUAAAGUUUGAAGGAAAUGUCACAUCCAUUUUUUAGGAUGACCAAAGAACCGAAUCAGUCUAUUUUUAGAAGACCACAUUCAUCUACCUUCAUUUCGUUGUGUUCUGAGCUUCUUAUUUAUCUGAGAUGAGUAAUCUGUUACGCUUUUUUCUGUGCAAUAGUUGGGUCCUUUUUCGCUUUGAUUUCGAAUAUCUUAUUGUCAAUUUAAACUUCUAAUUUUUGCAAGUUUCAGCAAUUCGUUCGUGUUCGGCUGUCUCUUCUUUUUUCCAGUUUGUAUAUUUCUAAAAGAGCCUUCAUUUAUUUGUGCUACUUUUUAAUUUGUUCUUGAAAUUCUGACAGGAAAGAGUAGUAAUGCUAAAUUUUGCGUAAUAUUACAUGCUUAACAAUCUAUGGAGAAGAAAAUAUACUCUGGGCAGGUGAAACGAUUCGUACAUAGGUAUAGAAUCAAGAUGCAUAUUACAGAUGAAUGCCGAUGAUUUACACGCAUGCCAUUGUCAAGGAACUAAGGGAGACGUAGGCGAGUGGGAGGACAAAGGAAUACGAGUAGAGAAUGUCACAGUCAUUGCUCUUAAUUUUUACUUCAGCAGUCGGAUUUUAUAUGUUAUCUCUUGAGGUUUGUGUGUGUGUUCAAUAUCUCAGACUUUGGCGAGUAUUGCUCCUUUAUCGGAUUUCAUUUUUUCCCCUUAGCUUCUUCGCAUUGAGGAGACGUCGACUUCCCAAAAAUGCAUUGCCCUCUUUUGAAUGACGCUUCAAGUCCGUUAACCUGCAAAGAUUGGUGUUCUCUUUUGAAUCAUCUCUUCCCAGCAGCUUUCGAUGAAACAGAUUACUCUUGCUGUGGCCUCCGCAACAGGCUUGGUUUUCCGGGUGAAGGCAUACUCAUCCUAUGCCGAAGCUUCAAUUAUGGCAAGGGUGAACCAAGUUUUCAUCUAUUUGGAUUCAUAAUGUGUGUCGGUGCAACAGCUGCAAGAGCACUCAAGUCAGUGCUUCAGGGGAUUUUGUUGUUCUCCAAAGGAGAGAAGCUGAAUUCCAUGAACCUUCUACUCUAUAUGGCUCCUAUAGCAGUUGUAUUUCUAUUACCAGCAACACUUUCAAUGGAAGAAAAUGUAGUUGGCAUCACGUUGGCACUUUCAAGAGACGAUAGUAGAAUCAUCUGGCUUUUGCUAUUCAAUUCUGCUCUAGCAUAUUUUGUAAAUCUGACCAAUCUGGUGACAAAACACAGGUAAUAUACAUUUGAUAAUGGAAUAAUGAUCAGAAGUAUAUGCUCUCAAUGACAUAAAAAAAUUAUAGUUUUGGGACUUCCAUAUUCACGAUAUGCUGUAAAGAUAUCCCAAUCGUCAAGAGCAUAAUACAGAUAGGUUAAAGGAAUGAUGCAGAUACGUAUGGACAGAGGAAACUGUUUUUUGGAAUAAGGUCCCAUUUUGGGUGGACAGGCACAUCUACCAGAUUUUGGUUUCUUUAAAUGAAGUUUGAAGUACGUUUUACACCGCAGUGUACCACUUAAGGAGUGUAGUUAUUUGAUUAAGUUCCUCUUCAAUGUUCCUAAAGGAAAUUUACAUUUAUAGCUUGAUCAUAUCUGAUUGCAACAUCAUUCAAGACUAGCAAAAUUCGUAGUUUCUUUUUUGUCCAUUCAAGAUCAAUAAGUUCAUAAUUUCCAUU
Molecule: RNA transcript, 2212 nt
Organism: Lycium barbarum (goji berry)
Lineage: Eukaryota; Viridiplantae; Streptophyta; Magnoliopsida; Solanales; Solanaceae
Gene name: probable sugar phosphate/phosphate translocator At3g11320
Exons: 7
Source: RefSeq, a predicted model, not a curated record